AAAGAUAUUAAAACAAGAACAUAACAUAGAUUGACCUGUUACUUUUUACUAUACCAUGUUACGAGUGGACUCAAGAGUGUUGAACAACAGCUUUUAUUUUCAAAAGCAUUCCCAACAUUUCUCUUUGAUCAUGUCCCAUUGAUUCCUGGCACAAAACGUGCCUAAAUGAAAGGGCCUAUGUGUAAUCAAAGUAUUUUGAGGAAACAGAAGUUUGAAAAUCUUACCUACGUACGAAAAUCUCUUGUGGCUAAACUGGUGUACUGUCAAUUGUGUGGAGCAACAUGUACAAGUACAAUUAUAGAAAUUGCACCUGGCAAACAGGGGAAAAUGUCAAAACAAAUAAAAUCAUCUGUAUAGAAUAUACAUCUGUAUUUGUAUUCAUAUUUCUGGAAGAUAUUCACAACCAAACCAUGACAGUCUACAUAAGCUGUUUUCUUCAUGUUUCUGUCUAUGAUAUUUUGAUUUUAGACCAUUGAACAAGGUUAUACCAAUCCCAUACAAUACAUAAAUACAAAAAUGUGAGCUUUGUACCAACAAAGUCAACAUUUUAUGGAUAGAAGUGACAGAACCAGGGCUGAUGGUGGUUGGCUGGUUUUGCCAGUUCAUGAGAAUCACAUAAGAGGCAACCCUGAAGUUACAUCAUCAAUUGAAAAAAAA
Branchiostoma floridae (Florida lancelet) is the source of this 657-nucleotide long non-coding RNA. RefSeq lists it as uncharacterized. The transcript is spliced from 2 exons. The record is from RefSeq and is a predicted model, not a curated record. NCBI's taxonomy places the organism in Eukaryota, Metazoa, Chordata, Leptocardii, Amphioxiformes, Branchiostomatidae.